Molecule: long non-coding RNA, 1726 nt
Filed under: Numida meleagris (helmeted guineafowl)
Lineage: Eukaryota; Metazoa; Chordata; Aves; Galliformes; Numididae
Description: lncRNA (ENSNMEG00000008280.1)
Source: RNAcentral
UGAUAAUUCAAUAGUACUUUGCCUGAAGAAAGAAAAAUGGCUUUGCAUGAAAAGGGAGGAAGGGGACAGUCCCCAAGUUACAAGUUUCCACUGCAAGAGAAACAAGAGCAGCUACCACAAAAUUGUAAAGCUUCAUGCAUGGAGCAGUUAUCCUUCUCUAGUACAAGGGAAAACUCCUGUCUUCAGUGAUGGCAGCACAACCAAGCAGCUGGUUUCUUCUUCAUUUUUUGGACUGUAUCAGUCUCAUAGCUCAUUAAUUUGACUAUCCAUGUCUCUUCACAAAACCUCACAGAACAGAAAAGAAGUAUCUCACCGUAACCUCCACUCCGGCACAGGAAAGGAUUUGCAUUGUUCUGUUUGGAAAGCAUUUCAAGCAUAGAUCACUCUUUGUGGUAACUAUCCUAAAUUAAAGCUCUACCCCAAAGGACAGUAAAGUUUAAUUUUGUUUAUCAGGCUGCAAGCAGACAGAAUAAAUACUUCUUUGUUUCUGCACACCCAGGGAGCCAGUUAAACUAUAUCUUGCUGGGCAUUUGCACAAGGUAUUGAAGUGGUCAACUUCCUUUUACAAAUAAGGAGAUCGAAAGAAGGAUACAGACAAAAGAAAACACAAAGCCAGCUGGCAUCAAAAUUUUAAUAAAACUCAGAAACCACCAGCAUCAAAACUCCUGCUUGUCAUACACCUAUCUUUUAUUCAGAAGACUAGGAGAAGUGACUUUACUGAUUCUGUCUUUCUGACAAAUUGCAUGGCAAUAUGCCACCAUUUUGAAAAGGGUGUUUCCAGAAGUGAAUGGGCUAUUUGGCGGUCAUUUGCUUUGGAAUUACAUCAGAAACAAAGCGGUAUCCCAAAGCUGUCCUGGGAAACUCUGUGGAUGCCAGUAUGAACUUUGAAACAUCUGUCAUCAUUCAGCAAGAUUUUCUGUUUGGGGCAGUGACUCCACAACAGCCUUGGUCCAUCCCGAGUACACUGUGCCACAUGCUGAUGCACAAGGCUGCUGUGAAACAUUCCUGGAAGGAAAAGGCCUCUGUGUUUCCCACCUCAUCCUUUCAGCAGCAUCGGCAGUGGGCAGAAGCCAACAGGCCAGCUCCUGCCCAGUUGGCACAGUCACACAGCAUGCGGCCUGGUCUGAAACAAACAUGCCUGCUUCCUCUGGAGCUGCUCCUACCUCCUGCAUCAGUACUCUCUGUGCAGACCAACUGCUCCAACAACCCAGUACACAUGUUUGACUUUGCAGGAUGGCAUGUGGGACCUGAGAAAAUGUUGUGAAGAAAUUCUGCAGCAAGUGACAGUGCAGUUGAAGGACCUGGCAGACAAAGGCAGUUUGAUCUGGAGAACAAAGGGGAAUGACAACACUGGGAAGAAGUGAAUCAAAAGAAAGAACUGGUAAAAGAAACAACAGUGGAGCUGCAAUUGAGUGUCAGUACUCCCUACUACUGAAUGGCUGAUACUGUGAUUCGAAGGAAGAAAACAGGAGAGCCUGGACACACAAGAUUCCCUAUAGAUUUUUAAAGCUGUAGAUUGCACUCUAUAAAAUUUAUUAGUCCUCAUCAUUUGAGAGGCAGUACAGCUUCUUCUAAUAACCUUAGAAAGUGUGCCAUAGGUACUUUAAUUUUCAGUAAUCAUAAAUAUGCAGUGCGAACUCAAUUACCAGUUUUGGCUACACCCACAAUUGCUGGUGCAAGUCAUCACAGUCUACAAGGGGAAACAAUUCCUACGAAUCCAUGCACA